RNAcentral lists this long non-coding RNA (1817 nucleotides) under Oryctolagus cuniculus (rabbit). RNAcentral's name for it is "lncRNA (ENSOCUG00000037311.1)". Lineage: Eukaryota; Metazoa; Chordata; Mammalia; Lagomorpha; Leporidae. The record is from RNAcentral.
UAAGUAUAGAAAGAAUUCACUAAAUGAAGUUCAAACAUUGCAGAUACAGUGUGAUUUAUAAGAUGUAAUCAGCAUCUUUGGUAAGAAAUCAUUAUGAUUGAAUUUCUAAGCUUUGUGGAGUUUAAACAUAAAAUGAACUAGAAGUGUGCCACAAGAUGGGAUAGAUAUUGUUAGAGAAAACAGAUAACUUUCAUAAUGAAUGUUUCUUAGUUUUGAUUCAGAUGCUAUUGGACAUAUAUUUUAUCAAUUUCUGGAAGGAAAAUUCCUAUCAAUUCUUAGAAGAAUGCUCUUACCUAUGGAAAACAAGGAAGAGACCAUUGGAUCCAACGUUCCAAAGUAAAAGAUGGAGUUUCCAAAUCAACUUGAAUUCAUCUCAGAGAAUGGCUUCAACACUUCCGAAGAAAAAUAUUCCAUUGAAGGACUCAAACUCCUCUUUAAAAAGGAUAACUAAAUUUGUUAUGCUCAUCCCUCCCCACCUUUCAAUAAAAAAAUAUAUCAUUGAGGUGCAGUUAUUUUGAGAACAGCCCUACUACUUGGGUGCUAGUUCUUUUUAUCUUACUGUUCGUCAGCCUAUCUCUACUAAUGACAUGGAUCCAUGGUUAAAUUUUUCUAAGCCUUUAUACUAUUUAUUGACCUCAUGCAAUUUGUAGCCAUCUUCUUUUCUAUUUUAUAAUCCAGUGGUUCAAGAUAAAAAAUUAUUAAAACUGUUGGUGCUGCCUCUGGCAAGGAAAAGACUCAACAGAUUCCCUUGAUCUAGCCUGCUCCCUGAUUGCUCUACUACUGUUUCUCUAAUUUAUUAUAUCAAUGAAUCCUGGUAUGGCUUUAUUGCAUUGAAUAAUCUGACAAGCACCAGAGUUUCCUCAGAGUAAUGCAAUCUCAAAGUUGGAGAUGCUAUAGAGAUUAAGGAAAAUGCAUCCUUUUGUUUCUAAUCACAUAAAGGAGUGUCCUGGGUGGGAUGGAUUUCCACAAAACUGUGCUAUAUGAACCUAUACAACCAUAAUAGCACCAAAAUAUAUAAUUUUUUGAUAUCUAAAUACCAUUCUUUAUUUAUUAAAAGGAAUCAGGGAUGCUUGGAAAAUAGCUGUCUGUAGCACUGAUGCAGGCAUAUAUACCGUGGGCCUGGGAUACCUUUCUAAGAUGAAAAGUAGUAAAAGUGUGUGGUGCUGGGGCUCACUAGGCUAAUCCUCCACCUUGUGGCGCCGGCACACCAGGUUCUAGUCCCAGUUGGGGCGCCAGAUUCUGUCCCGGUUGCCCUUCUUCCAGGCCAGCUCUCUGCUGUAACCAGGGAGUGCAGUGGAGGAUGGCCCAAGUGCUUGGGCCCUGCACCCGCAUGGGAGACCAGGAGAAGCACCUGGCUCCUGGCUUCGGAUCAGCAUGGUGCGCCGGCCACAGUGCGCUGGCCAUGGCGGCCAUUGGAGGGUGAACCAACAGCAAAGGAAGACCUUUCUCUCUGUCUCUCUCUCUCUCACUGUCCACUCUGUAAAAGUGUUAAAGAAUGAUGUAAAUAAGAAAUAUAUAUAUAAAUUGAGAUACAGAACCUACCAAGUUCAGGGUAUGUGGGGAUAUUAGACAUACAGCCUGAGGUUCAAAGGUAACGCUAUCUCAAAGUAGACUCAAAAAGAGUUAGAAACAUACCAGGGGAUUCAAAUUCAAUCCCAUCAAGGUGGCAUGUACCAAUGCCAUCUCACUAGUCCCAGUGAUCAAUUUCUGUUCACAAUUGAUCAUAAUGAUAGGACUAAGAACCAAAGGGAUCACAUAAAUAAGACUAGUGUCUGCAAAUACUAGCUCAUAGAAUAAAAAAGGGAGAGAACGAUCCA